RNAcentral lists this ribosomal RNA (497 nucleotides) under uncultured bacterium. Its description in RNAcentral is "partial 16S ribosomal RNA". It matches the Rfam family "Bacterial small subunit ribosomal RNA", at positions 28 to 507 of the family's 1533-position model. The record is from RNAcentral.
GAUGAACGCUGGCGGCGUGCCUAAUACAUGCAAGUCGAGCGAACAGACGAGGAGCUUGCUCCUCUGACGUUAGCGGCGGACGGGUGAGUAACACGUGGAUAACCUACCUAUAAGACUGGGAUAACUUCGGGAAACCGGAGCUAAUACCGGAUAAUAUAUUGAACCGCAUGGUUCAAUAGUGAAAGACGGUUUUGCUUUCACUUAUACAUGGAUCCGCGCCGCAUUAGCUAGUUGGUAAGGUAACGGCUUACCAAGGCAACGAUGCGUAGCCGACCUGAGAGGGUGCUCGGCCACACUGGAACUGAGACACGGUCCAGACUCCUACGGGAGGCAGCAGUAGGGAAUCUUCCGCAAUGGGCGAAAGCCUGACGGAGCAACGCCGCGUGAGUGAUGAAGGUCUUCGGAUCGUAAAACUCUGUUAUUAGGGAAGAACAAAUGUGUAAGUAACUAUGCACGUCUUGACGGUACCUAAUCAGAAAGCCACGGCUAACUCCGUG